UACGGGGGGGGCAAGCGUUGUUCGGAAUUACGGGGCGUAAAGGGUUCGUAGGUGGCUUGCUCAGUCAGACGUGAAAUCCCUCAGCUUAACUGGGGAACUGCGUCUGAUACUGGCGAGCUUGAGUGCAGGAGAGGAACGCGGAAUUCCAGGUGUAGCGGUGAAAUGCGUAGAUAUCUGGAGGAACACCGGUGGCGAAGGCGGCGACCUGGGUAGAUACUGACGCUGAGGUGCGAAAGCGUGGGGAGCAAACAGG
This 253-nucleotide ribosomal RNA is filed under the name uncultured bacterium. Its description in RNAcentral is "partial 16S ribosomal RNA". It matches the Rfam family "Bacterial small subunit ribosomal RNA", at positions 524 to 776 of the family's 1533-position model. The record is from RNAcentral.